AGAACGAACGCUGGCGGCAUGCCUAAUACAUGCAAGUCGAACGAACUCUUCGGAGUUAGUGGCGCACGGGUGCGUAACGCGUGGGAAUCUGCCCCUUGGUUCGGAAUAACAGUUGGAAACGACUGCUAAUACCGGAUGAUGACGAAAGUCCAAAGAUUUAUCGCCAAGGGAUGAGCCCGCGUAGGAUUAGCUAGUUGGUGAGGUAAGGCUCACCAAGGCAACG
RNAcentral lists this ribosomal RNA (223 nucleotides) under uncultured soil bacterium. Its description in RNAcentral is "partial 16S ribosomal RNA". It matches the Rfam family "Bacterial small subunit ribosomal RNA", at positions 26 to 278 of the family's 1533-position model. The record is from RNAcentral.